Dalotia coriaria is the source of this 4905-nucleotide RNA transcript. It is a transcript of the gene named DNA (cytosine-5)-methyltransferase PliMCI-like, with no coding region annotated. Lineage: Eukaryota; Metazoa; Arthropoda; Insecta; Coleoptera; Staphylinidae. The record is from RefSeq and is a predicted model, not a curated record. The transcript has 14 exons.
GAUCGCAUGUUCCAAUCGUUUGCAAGUCAGUCUGUUGGUCAGCCAUGUAGCAGCAUUAUGGCUGAUGAAAAAUACUCUGAGCAGUUUGAUGACAAUGGAAAUGAAACCGAAAGCGCCAGUAAACGGUUCAAAGCUAACAAUUGUGAAGAAGUCACAGAGAACAAAAUUGAGAUAAGAGUUCAAAAUACAUCAAAAGCUCAGAAAUGUGUCAUCUGUAAACAGUAUGAGGAUCAAGUCAUUUUAUACAAUGGACAUCCAACCGAUUCAGUUCCUGAGUAUAUUGCAUUGACUGAUGAUGACCUAAUUGCUGCUGGGGAUGAGGAUGCCAUGGAUAAGCAGGAUGAACGUCCUAGUCAUAAAAUUACUUUAUAUAAUGUUUAUGAUAAGCUGGGGCACUUGGUGCCAAUAGACACUGGUUUAAUUGAAGAGGAAGUCUUAUUGUUUGUGUCUGGCUAUGUGAAGCCAAUUUAUGAUGAAGAUGAGUCUGCUGAGACUGGAAUACCAACUCAUGAUAUUGGACCCAUCACAGCCUGGUAUUAUUGCCAUUCUGGAUUUACUAGUGAUGAUCUGACUGUAUCAUUUGAAACGCCUUAUGCUGAGUAUUGCAUGAUGGCGCCAUGUGAAACAUACGCGCCUAUAAUGAAAUCAUUAAAGGAAAAAAUUCAAAUAUCCAAGAUUGUGAUGGAAUUCCUAAUGUCUGAAUCAUUGCAACAGCCUACUUAUGAAGAUAUCCUGCAGAAACUCCACACUUGCAAAGACGCGAAUAUGAAUGAGGAGUGUUUACUUCGGAAUGCGCAGUUUGUAUGUGAUCAGAUCCUGCGCGUUGAUCAGACGGCUGAUGAGGAUGAUGCUACACUCUUGACUUUGCCAUGUAUUCGAAGUCUGAUCAAAAUCGCAGGAGUUUCUUUUGCCGGGCGAAAAUGGAAUCAAAUGAUUAAUGUCAGUUUGCAACGGAGUGUGAAGAAGUCUUCGAAGGGUUCAGCCACCACAACGGUGUUAGUUCGAAAAGUAUUGGAAAAUUUCUUCACCAAUCAUAUUGCGAAUAAUAACGAUGAGAUUAAGACUCCAAAACAGACCGGUUGUGGAACAUGUGAGGCUUGCCAACAGUCUGACUGUGGCCAUUGCCUUGCCUGUCGCGAUAUGCUUAAGUUUGGCGGGAUAGGGUGGUCGAAACAACCUUGUAAAAUGAGGUGGUGCCCAACUGAGGCUCUACAAGAAGCAGAAGACUGCGAUACGUUCGAUGCGGAUGAGGACUCUGAAACACUCGCAGUAGACGAAGAGACGUUUUCUUGUUCGAAGAGAAUUAUUAACCAAGUUGAAUGGAUUGGUGAUGCAUUAAGUGAACAAAACGGCCGGACAUAUUAUCAGUUCGCUACUGUUGGAAAUGCGCAAAUAACAACUGGAGACUAUGUAAUUCUAAAUCCAGUCGUGCCAAACCACCCACUUCUUGUAGCCGAAGUUGUCUACAUGUGGAAUGAUACCGAAAAAGGUCCAAUGUUCCACGCGCAUUUUUUCAUCCGCGGAUCGAACACGGUUUUGGGCGAAACAGCGGAUCCCAGGGAGAUUUUUGUGCAUGACAGUUGCGACAAUUGCCCUCUGGGCACAAUUGUCCGUAAGGCCAUCGUAGAGAAACGUUUACCAACCAUUGAUUGGGCCCUGAUUGGUGGUGGCGACAGCCUAUCACCUAUAUUGGAAGAUGAUGGGGAAACGUAUUUCUUUUCAAAACGUUACAAUGCAGAACACGCCAGAUUUGAGGAUUUGCGGUCAGCAGAUUUUGGAUCGGAAUCAAUUUCCCCGUGUGAAGCAUGCACUGCCAAUCAUCAGAGGCGUUUAUUUAAUACUCCUAAGAUGGAAGAUAACUCUGUGAUAUACCAUGGUGAAGAAUACAAAGUAGGGAGCGCGGUGUACUUAACGCCCGGAGUGUUCAAAUACUUGAAAAUCUCGUUUGACACUGAGGACGAUUGUUUAUCAACAAAAAGCGACUUCGAUAGUGCUUUAUAUCCGGAGUCUUACCGCAAGAACCAUGAAAAUAUUAAAGCAUCUAAUUUGGGUGCAACUGAACCAUUUGCUAUUGCAUUGAUCGAGGCAAUUUUUGAGGAACAUUCCACUACGAAUGAAUCAAACAUCAAACUCAGGGUUAAGAAGUUCUAUAGACCUGAAAACACGCAUAAAGGCGCGGCUUUAAAUCGUCAGUGCGAUCUGAACAUGUUGUAUUAUAGCGAAGAAGAGGAUAUAGUUGACUUCCUCGAUGUACAAGGUAAAUGCUUUAUCACUUAUGGUUAUAACAUAGAGGGUUCUCUGAACGAAUGGACGACUGAAGGUCCUCACCGGUUUUAUUUUCUCGAGAAAUACGAUUCGGAAACGUUGACCUUUGAGGAUGUUCCGUCCAGCGCGAUGAGAAUGGGCCAGAGAGGUAAAGAUUCGAGAAAACAGAAGAAUAAAAGCAAGAAAGGGUCAGUCAAGUCGUUCGAAGUUGCGCCAAACUAUAAAAAUAUGGAAGAGUUGUCUUGUUUGGACGUGUUUGCAGGAUGUGGAGGCUUCUCCGAGGGAUUGCUUCAGAGUGGAGUUGCUAAAAUACGUUGGGCUAUUGAAAAAGAUGCUGCAGCUGCAAAAGCAUAUCAGGUAAAUAAUCCGGACGUGCACGUAUUUACCACUGACAGUAAUCAGUUCCUAAUGGAUGUGAUGGACGGCGAUGGCUUUGCCCAGGGCAUGCCAUUCAAAGGGGAAGUGCAAUUAUUAGUGGGCACGCCACCGUGCCAGGCAUUCUCCGGAAUGAAUAAAUUCAACGCUGGAGAGUUUGCGAAUUUUCAACAUUCUCAUAUUGCUUCGUAUCUCUCGUACUGCGAGUAUUACCGCCCGAAUUAUUUAAUUCUCGACAAUGUUGGGGAUUUCGUUUUCUUUAAGAAAAGUCUUGUGUUAAAGUUGACUCUGAGGUGCUUAUUGGCCAUGGGUUAUCAGGCGACUUUUGGUGUCAUUCAGGCCGGACAUUAUGGGGUGCCACAAAGUCACAGAAGGUUGAUUAUAUUUGCUGCCGCGCCGGGAUACGAAUUACCGAAUUAUCCCGAACCAUGUCAUGUAUUGCGAAAGAUGCAAUGUGAAUCGUCGGUCCAAGUUGGAGAUCAUCGAUACACUAAUGGUACACGUUGGAUAGGCUCUGCGCCACUCAGACCAAUCACGGUGUAUGAUGCAUUGGCCGAUCUGCCGGCAAUUCAAAACGGUGCCAGCAUGCGUAUCCUACCUUAUGACACGGAUGCCAUUACGCACUUUCAACGCCAGAUGCGGAACGCCGGCGGCCAGUUAAACACGAUCUCCGACCACAUCUGCAAAAACAUGCCACCCUUGGUCGAAGCACGCAUGUCUUACAUCCCGCUAGCACCCGGCAGCGAUUGGCGUGACUUGCCGAACCUGGAGGUGCGUCUUAAAGAUGGCUCCUACACCAAUACACUGCACUACGCAUACCAUACUAAGCAACAAGCCAAUUGUGAGACACCCAGAGGAGUGUGCAUCUGUGCCACCGAGGAGGCCUGCUGCGAUCCGUCCGAUCAACAGUUGAAUACAUUGAUACCGUGGUGUUUACCGCACACGGCGGAUCGCCACAAUCAUUGGACGGGACUGUAUGGACGCUUAGAGUGGGAUGGAGUCUUUAGUACGACGGUGACUAAUCCAGAACCUAUGGGCAGGCAGGGUCGCGUCUUGCACCCAGAGCAGCAUCGGGUUGUUAGUGUGAGGGAGUGUGCGAGGUCGCAGGGAUUUCCAGACAAGUACGAGUUUGCGGGCAAUAUAUUCGAUAAGCAUCGGCAGGUGGGAAAUGCGAUGCCACCGCCUGUAGGCGCGGCACUUGGCAGGGAGAUUUUACAAGCGUGCCUUAAUUCGAAGGUUUAAAGAUUUGAAGUAUGAAUUAUUUUAUUUUGUUAUAUUAAACUGUUUGUACCGCUACGUGAUACUGCAAGAUGUGUCGAAACGCAUGUUAGAAAAAAGUUGAGAAGUUUGGCACUUCGAAAAUUGUCAGAUUGUUGCAAUUGUUUGUGUUAAUUUACGGCAGCAAAGUUUUAAGUCCAUUUUACCAUUGUUCUACCACCAAAGUAUUUAUAUCCAUAUCUCAUGUAAUGAUUAAGUAAGUUUAUACGAAUACCAAUGCUAGUUUAAUUCGAAAUAGUCAGUUUUGGAUGGUGAGAUGUAUGUAAUAAUAUUUAAUAUAUUUUGUAAUUCCUUGCUGGGAAUUUUGCUUGAGCGUUGAAAAUUUAAAGCAGUUUAAAAUAUUUAAAUUGUGAAAUAAGCAGUUAAGCCUUGGCCUUGUGCCACUAGAUUUAAAUGUUUCGCAUGCGCAGUACGGACUUCCGGUGCUGGCACAUCUGCGCAUGCCGUCCUGUAUCUUGCAUUUACCGCACGCUCGAGUCACGCGCAUCUAGCCCGGCCUUUGAGUUGCAAGCAUCUCUUUAACAUUUUAAUCGUGCUGUUCAAAUCUUGUGAAUGAAUUUUCCACCAGAAUCCGAUAUCGUAGAAGAACCAUUCUUUUAGCAGAUGGGAUUUUCCACCUGAGUCCGAUAUCGCAGGAGAACCAUUCUUUCAGCAGAUGGGAUUUUCUACUUGAGUCCGAUAUCGUAGAAGAAACAUUCUUUCAGCAGAUGGGAUUUUUCACCUGAUUCCGAUAUCGUAGAAGAACCAUUUUUCAGCUGAUGGGAUUUUCCACCUGAGUCCGAUAUUGUAGAAGAACCAUUCUUGCAGCAGAUAGGAUUUUCUACCUGAGUCCGAUAUUGUAGAAGAACCAUUCUUUUAGCAGAUAGGAUUUUCCACCUGAGUCCGAUAUUGUAGAAGAACCAUUCUUUCAGCAGGUAGUAAGUAUUAAAUUUCUCUAUCGUUUUCAUCAAUAAAUUUUGUGAUUAUCUCACGAAUUAACCCUUAAAA